Molecule: small nuclear RNA, 118 nt
Organism: Lemur catta (Ring-tailed lemur)
Lineage: Eukaryota; Metazoa; Chordata; Mammalia; Primates; Lemuridae
Product: U5 spliceosomal RNA
Exons: 1
Source: RefSeq, a predicted model, not a curated record
AUGUUAUGGUUUCUCUUCAGAAGGAACAAAUCCUUGGACUUUUACUAAAGACUUCCGUGAAGAGGAACAGUUAUGAGUUGGUAACCACAUUUUUUUGAGGCCUUGCUUAGGCAAGGCU